RNAcentral lists this ribosomal RNA (497 nucleotides) under uncultured bacterium. RNAcentral describes it as "partial 16S ribosomal RNA". It matches the Rfam family "Bacterial small subunit ribosomal RNA", at positions 28 to 507 of the family's 1533-position model. The record is from RNAcentral.
GAUGAACGCUGGCGGCGUGCCUAAUACAUGCAAGUCGAGCGAACAGACGAGGAGCUUGCUCCUCUGACGUUAGCGGCGGACGGGUGAGUAACACGUGGAUAACCUACCUAUAAGACUGGGAUAACUUCGGGAAACCGGAGCUAAUACCGGAUAAUAUAUUGAACCGCAUGGUUCAAUAGUGAAAGACGGUUUUGCUGUCACUUAUAGAUGGAUCCGCGCCGCAUUAGCUAGUUGGUAAGGUAACGGCUUACCAAGGCAACGAUGCGUAGCCGACCUGAGAGGGUGAUCGGCCACACUGGAACUGAGACACGGUCCAGACUCCUACGGGAGGAAGCAGUAGGGAAUCUUCCGCAAUGGGGGAAAGCUUGACGGAGCAACGCCGCGUGAGUGAUGAAGGUCUUCGGAUCGUAAAACUCUGUUAUUAGGGAAGAACAAAUGUGUAAGUAACUAUGCACGUCUUGACGGUACCUAAUCAGAAAGCCACGGCUAACUACGUG